GACGAACGCUGGCGGCGUGCUUAACACAUGCAAGUCGAACGGACAGGCCCUGCUUUUGUGGGGUGCUCGAGUGGCGCACGGGUGAGUAACACGUGAGUAACCUGCACUUGACUUUGGGAUAACUUCAGGAAACUGGGGCUCAUACCGGAUAGGAGCUCCUGCUGCAUGGUGGGGGUUGGAAAGUUUCGGCGGUUGGGGAUGGACUCGCGGCUUAUCAGCUUGUUGGUGGGGUAGUGGCUUACCAAGGCUUUGACGGAUAGCCGGCCUGAGAGGGUGACCGGCCACAUUGGGACUGCGAUACGGCCCAGACUCCUACGGGAGGCAGCAGGGGGGAAUAUUGCACAAUGGGCGGAAGCCUGAUGCAGCAACGCCGCGUGCGGGAUGACGUCCUUCGGGUUGUAAACCGCUUUCGCCGGUGACGAAGCGUGAGUGACGGUAAUGGGUAAAGAAGCACCGGCUAACUACGUG
RNAcentral lists this ribosomal RNA (468 nucleotides) under uncultured bacterium. Its description in RNAcentral is "partial 16S ribosomal RNA". It matches the Rfam family "Bacterial small subunit ribosomal RNA", at positions 28 to 507 of the family's 1533-position model. The record is from RNAcentral.